This 534-nucleotide long non-coding RNA is filed under the name Androctonus crassicauda. The record is from RNAcentral. Lineage: Eukaryota; Metazoa; Arthropoda; Arachnida; Scorpiones; Buthidae.
ACCUAUUUUUUUUAUUUUGAUGCGGAAAUUUUUUAUAAAUGAUGGUUAUGGAAAAAAAUGUUUGAUAGUCUUUGAGCAGUAUGCACAAUCCAAAAGGUUGAGAACUGCUGCUCUACAGGAAUAUAAUUUAUUCAAUUAUAGUAACACAAAAUUUCUGAAGAUUACUGUUUGCAUAGAAUUCCUGGCUGUGGAUGGGACAAUCAGUGCAAACAUAGAAGGGCAAGUCAAGCUUGGAAUACCCAGUCAUAUUUAUUGUAAUUUCCAAUAUAAUCUUUUAAUACCUUUAAAUGAAAUUUAAAGGUAUUAAAAGAUUAUAUUGAAUGAAAUUUAACACUAAAGUUGGGUAUUGAAUAUGACUUUGAUUAUACAACAAUUAAACAUAUAAUUUCAAUCAUUUAAAAAUGGCAGAUCUCAAACUUCUGAGAUCUCAAUCUAAUAAUUUUAAACUGUUUAAUAAAUUUUAUAAAAAUUUAUCAGAGGUAGUUUUUUAUGACAUAUAUUUUAAUUUCAGAUUCUUAAUCAUUCCAAAUUUGC